Oncorhynchus nerka (sockeye salmon) is the source of this 274-nucleotide long non-coding RNA. RefSeq lists it as uncharacterized. The transcript is spliced from 3 exons. The record is from RefSeq and is a predicted model, not a curated record. NCBI's taxonomy places the organism in Eukaryota, Metazoa, Chordata, Actinopteri, Salmoniformes, Salmonidae.
UGAGGAGAUGCGUAGCAGCUGGCUACGGAAGGAGAACAGCUGGAAAGAGGAGCAGGAAAGGCAUCUCAUGGACCAACUGAUGCAUUCACGUGAGCAGCUGAACAAAAGUGAGCAGGAAAAGGAUAACCAAAGAAAGGCCUUUGAGGCAGAAAUGGCAGAACUCCAGGCCAGGUUUGAGGAGGAGAUACAGGUACUAGCUGGUGAGCUGACAGAGAAGGAUGUAACCAUCAGUUUGUUGAGAACAGCUUAUCACCAGACACAAGAGCAACUGGAU